AGAGAGGAACAUGUUUCCUUGGGGCGAGGCCCCGUCUCUUCACCCUGUGCCUAUCUACCCUUGUUGCUUUGGCGUGCUGGGGGUUACACCCCUAUCUGUCGGUAGCUGGUCUUAAAGGAACGCUCCGGCGGAUCGUGCUCGUCAGAAGCCCGUUAAAUUCUAUCUAUCAGUGUUGUCCGAGCAAAAAAAACAUCAAUAGUUAAAAACUUUCAACAACGGAUCUCUUGGUUCU
This 232-nucleotide unclassified non-coding RNA is filed under the name rhizosphere metagenome. Its description in RNAcentral is "partial ribosomal RNA internal transcribed spacer region". The record is from RNAcentral.